UUUAACGGUGAAUGCGGAAAAAAUCCAAAGUACAUGCUAUUCAAUUGCCCCAAAAGUUGCGGAGUCUGUCCAGUUUGUAAGGAUAAAGUCAAAGGUUGUAAAUCUAAGGCAGCAAACAGUGAAUGCACGAAAAACAAAAAUUACAUGAAGCGUAAUUGCCCCAAAACUUGCCGCUUCUGUUAGAAUCAAAAUAAAACCUUCUGACCUGUCUUCUUCCGGAUCAGAUGGAAAAGAUUUGAGGCAGUAGUAUCAUUUUGCUUGCAUGAUUUGGGUUGGGUGAAGGAAUGAGCUGGGUUGCUAAUGUAAGGGGUUUUUUCGCUGUGCUUAUUGCCGAAUUUUAAGCCUCGUUAUCUGGAAAAUAAACAAAUGAUC
Pocillopora damicornis (cauliflower coral) is the source of this 372-nucleotide long non-coding RNA. The record is from RefSeq and is a predicted model, not a curated record. Lineage: Eukaryota; Metazoa; Cnidaria; Anthozoa; Scleractinia; Pocilloporidae.